GGGGGUGCACUGGCUUCGACGGGGGUCGCGAAAUCGCCUGGUGCAUGCCGAGGGGGCAGCUUUCCUCGUAAAUCCAGCGGCAAACUUCUAGUUGCCAACGACGACAACUACGCUCUCGCCGCUUAAGGCGUAAGCCCCGAACCCAGUCUGUGUCCGUGCUAGUGGGUGUAGGGUCAUCAUCACGGAAGCGAUCGCGGUGGCUGCCUGCCAGCCGCGGUUCUAAUCAAGCAGGCUGGCCCCUGGAUGCGCUUUGCGCGCCGUGCUGUCCAGGGGCGAGAUCCAACGGCGCGCUAAGCAUGUAGGACCGGGGAUGGAGUGCCUUCGGACGGCGGUUCGAUUCCGCCCACCUCCACCA
RNAcentral lists this transfer-messenger RNA (355 nucleotides) under Lysobacteraceae. Its description in RNAcentral is "Luteimonas_D marina Standard tmRNA". It matches the Rfam family "transfer-messenger RNA". From Rfam's summary of the family: Bacterial tmRNA, also known as 10Sa RNA or SsrA, is named for its dual tRNA and mRNA-like properties. Its role is to liberate the mRNA from a stalled ribosome. Lineage: Bacteria; Pseudomonadati; Pseudomonadota; Gammaproteobacteria; Lysobacterales. RNAcentral also lists the same sequence under 1 other name. The record is from RNAcentral.